GUGCUACAAAUCAUAUUGGACACGGUAGUCCAGGGAGAAGGACGUCAAUAUACUUCUCUUGUUAUAUCUAAAUUGUAUCACCAUUGAAUUCUUUAUUAUCCACAUGGCUGGCACUGUGAUGACAAUUUUCAGUUUUACGGUCCUGCUUUUCUGGGUAAUUCGCAACGUGGCCAUUAUGUAUGAAUUUUGUGUAUCAAGUCUUAUAAGUAACAAAGUGUGUAUGUUGGAAUAGGUCCUGUCCGCCUGUGUAUUUCUUGUGAUUUCCCAACAACCUGUUAUCCCGAUGAGCUCGCUUAUGUGUGGUGUCCUACCUGUGGACCCUUAAGACGUGUGUGUGUUGAAAGGGAUGUUUUCUUCGUAGAACACGUCUUGUAGCAGGGACGGAGUGUGUAAAGGACAAAACAGUAGUGACAAACCAAGGACCGUUUCUUGUAGAACACGUCACAGGGACGGAGUGUAUGAAGGACAAACCAGUAGUGACAAAUCAUACCCAUCAACAUCUUAUUUUCAUACUUGUAUCUUGAUUAUUAAUUCCAUUAAAUAUGUAAG
This is a long non-coding RNA of Ostrea edulis (European flat oyster), 549 nucleotides long. RefSeq lists it as uncharacterized. The record is from RefSeq and is a predicted model, not a curated record. Lineage: Eukaryota; Metazoa; Mollusca; Bivalvia; Ostreida; Ostreidae. The transcript has 3 exons.